Molecule: long non-coding RNA, 3307 nt
Organism: Platichthys flesus (European flounder)
Lineage: Eukaryota; Metazoa; Chordata; Actinopteri; Pleuronectiformes; Pleuronectidae
Exons: 3
Source: RefSeq, a predicted model, not a curated record
CGGGAUUUGAUGGAUGGGAGUGCCAGAGGGAAAGUAAUUUCCACACACAUAUUCUAGGUGCUAUGGAUAAGAGGAGGAAAAGGAAAGUUUAACUGGUUCCUCCACGGCUGGUAGAUAUAAUAGAGAAUACAUUUGGAUUAUGUACAAGGGCAAGAGGCCAAAAAGUGUAAGAAAGUAAUUAAACACUGCUGUCUACAGCAAUCCUCACAAGCGUGAUCCUUACCACUGUAACUGAGAGCCUGGAGAGGGAUACUGCUAUAAUGCACAGGGAGCACUUCACAUUACAUUGGUGGGGUUACAUGGUCUAGUCAUUUUAACACUUCCACUGUGUGGAAAGUGGUCCUGGGUGUUACAUGUACAAGUGUAGGUUCAUGUGAGCAGCUUCAUCCUGCUCCACAGGAGACAUGGGUUGGAUUACAACCCAAGCAGACUCAUUAUCCGAGGCAGCAUUAGAACCCAAACACAUUGGUGGGUCCUCAUCCUCACAGGGUAUUUUCAAAUCUUACAGUAUGUAAUAACCAUGGUUUAUACCAGGAAUAAUGCCUCAGUAACAUUGUUAACAUUUGAUCCGGUUAGUUUUGUUUUCACUUUUGCAAUCGAGGGAACAGAGAUAAGACACACAUACCUGCUGCCGUCAUUAUCCACUUGGGCCACGUCUGCCUGAACUGGACAUGAAAGAAGUCAUAUCAUCAGAGAAAAAGACAGCAAGCAGUCAUGGUAGCCGCUUCCACAUUUUCUUCCUCUAUCAUUUAUAACUGUUUAAUGUUUUAAUUGAUCAACUCCCUGCAAUUGUUUAGAAAACCCAAACUAGGACAGGAACAUGGUUGAGUUUGAUCUGGACUGAUGGUCUGUCCCCUGAUCACAUUUCACACCUGUUACCAUGGAUCGGACUAAACUGAGAUGUCUGAAGGCUUGAUGCAGCUGCAUGUCAAGAAUAAUUCAACGUGCACAAAGCUUUACGGUCUCCAUCAAGCUUUCUGUCAGACUCUAUCAGGGAGUGAAGGUCACCACUCUGCCCUGCUUCCUGGCCUCCCUGCAGUCCGACCACGUGUCCUCACUCCAGCUUCCCUCGGAAUCUUCUCUGACUAUGUGGUCGAGGAUCAGAACCACUUCCUGUGUCUCAGUCCCUGAUUGCACAACGCUGAUGAGUUCUUCACUCCAGUGUUGGUCUUUCUGAAAGCCAAUACUGAUACCUAAACCUGCCAUUUUCUGGGACAGUGAAUUAUUUUGUUUUGCUCCAAAAUUAAAUUCAUCUUCCCAAAAAAAACUGUCUUGACUUACAGUCGAGUGAGAGUUUUUUCUGUUUGGCUGCUCUUGAAGGUAUUACAAAUAGAUUUACAGUUGAUUAAACGGUUAAACUGAACAUCAUGCUUGGAGUGAACAUGCUGUUUGAAACAGUUAUAAAUUGACAGGUGUAAAUAUACAAUAAAUGCACCUCAAAGUACAUACAGUACAUACAAUAUAGAUAAAAACAAAACCAUGAUCAAAAUGUAAUUCAUAUCAGAUAAUAGAUUUUUAUCCAACAUAAGAACAGAAAAUUCAUGUAUGACUAUUUUGAUAAUAAAACAAUGAUCCCAGUCAAACAAAAGUGCCAAAUAUUUCCUAAUCUCAACUUCUGAAAUGUAAAAAAGUUUUUAUUUGUUUGAAAUUGCUGUUAUAUGUAUUGGGGUCUUUUGAAUUAAUCAGAUAAACAAGACACCUGAUCUCUUUGAAUAAUGUAUAACUCCUCAACACAGUGAAGGUGCACAAGAGUGUCGCCUAAAUUUACACUAGCAGCUAAAUCAUUAUCAUUUUAUAUGAAAAUAUAACCUAUGAAAGUAAAAUGAAUAAAUGUGUCGGAAAAGAUGUCACUCCAUUCAGGAUACUCCUAUUACUUCAUCAUCCUUUUAAUGGAUCUCCAAAACUCCCCCCCCCCCCACACACACACACAUUUUAUAGACGCAUAUAGAAGUUUCGAGCAUCAAUCGUUCUUUACAGACGGGCCCAUCUGGUGUUUUCACCUCAAGUUAUUAAAUCUCUUCAAAAUGACUAAUAUGCAGCUCAACACUUGCCAACACGUUUGACUCCCUUGACAGACAGCAGCCAAUCAAUAGUCACACCUUAAUAAUCACACCUCUUCUCUGCACUCAUCUCAAAGUGACAACAAUCAGGUUACAUGACAGAAACAAAUAAUGUAUGCUGUCUCUGGUGUGCAGUUUUCCCAUUAAAUAACCAGAGGCUCCAUGAAUAAGAGCAGGUUUCUAAUAAAGAGAAUUUACCACUUUCUUAAUCACGAGCCUACAGAGCCCCAUAGGUGUGAUCAGGUCUAUAUGAUCAAUAUCUCUCUCUCUCUCUCUCUCUCUCUCUCUCUCUCUCUCUCUCUCUCUCUCUCUCUCUCUCUCUCACUCUCUCUCUCUCUCUCUCUCUCUCUCUCUCUCUCUCUCUCUCUCUCUCUCUCUCUCUCUCUCUCUCCCUCCCUCCCUGCCGGCAUCAGUAUGUGACAUAAACCAUGUGACGCUGUUAAGAGCAACAAGACCAAGGAGACAAGAUGCACCGACCAUUUGAGUCAUUUGAGAAUAUUACAAAUUAGCCCACACACAAAGCAACGCUGCCAAUGUGCUAACAGUUUUGUUGGCAAUGUUGCCACAGAUAUCAGGUUGUUAAUUGGUUGAAGUUUGCCAAUGCCAAAUUAAUUUAGCUUUUUAGUAAUCCAUUUUUUAUAAUUUGAUAAUGCUUUUAUAUGGAUUAAUGCAUUUUGUAUUUGGAGUGCAUAAGAGGGGAUGGUAAUAAACCUUCAUUUUCAUUUCAGUGGUUUUGUGACAUGAUGAUUUGGCGAUUUUGGAUUUGCACAUUUCUGUACCUGACACUAAAUGCCUUGAUUUUACACAUUGUAACUGUUGCCACUAUAAUAAUGUAAUAUGUUAUAAAAUUUUCUAAUGUUUAUUUUGUAUUUGUAUAUAUCAUUGCUGUAAUUAGAAAUAAGACUUCUAUUUUGAAGCCUCCGCUGAGCUGCAUGUUUUGAGAAGAACCAUCUAGAGGACACUCGGAGAAGUAACACGAAGAAGAGACACAGAGAAGCAGGCAGAUGGAGUUACACACCUGUCUAACAGUUUGUUAAAUAAGAGAAGAUAAGAGGAUUCCUUUUCAGAACAUGCAGCCAACGAGGUAUUUUGUUUGUUAUUUAUUUUAACUUUAACUGUAAUUAUUGAUACUGUGUUUGCUAGUUAGCUAACGCUGUAUGUUGUGUCUUUUGUUGCCGUGUGUGGCGCAGUUUUCACGGUCUGAUGUGAAGAACAAGACUUUAUUAAAGACCCGUGGAGGAAACCAU